UCCGAUAUGGUGUAGUGGUUAACAUCGUUCGCUCUCAUGGAAUAACAAGUUGUUCUCUGGAACCGAACAGCCCCGGGUUCGAUUCCCGGUGUCGGAA
This is a non-coding RNA of Arthrobotrys megalospora, 97 nucleotides long. The record is from the annotation of a GenBank genome assembly. Lineage: Eukaryota; Fungi; Ascomycota; Orbiliomycetes; Orbiliales; Orbiliaceae.